Molecule: long non-coding RNA, 267 nt
Filed under: Daphnia pulex (common water flea)
Lineage: Eukaryota; Metazoa; Arthropoda; Branchiopoda; Diplostraca; Daphniidae
Description: uncharacterized LOC124209900
Source: RNAcentral
GGUUUGGCCUACAAUAUAGAGGAUGGGCGCAAAGGCAUUUCAAGACUUACGUCUAGCAUGCCAACUACAUUAUGACACGCAAGCUGACGAAUGGUUACGAGAAGCAACAAAGGUAUACAAUAAGGUUCCUAAGUUUAAUGGAGCAGUUACACGUCCUGCGUUAACAGAUCCUGGAACUCAAUGGAGAGCGUGAAAGGGGAAAAAUUCGAAAGACCGUCCGUCAAAAAGGAUGAGACUGGUUCCAACUUCAGAACUGUUUGAAGGGCU